CAAAUUUUGAAGAAGAAAUAAUACCUUUUGUUAGGCUGACUGAUACAGUAGCAAAAAGCAUCCGAGCAGCCUUGGAGGCAGAAGCCUUGGCCUUGGACAUGCAAGCCCUUCGUCCAGGCUCAGACAGCAGCUUCUGUUUUGGGUGCACAAGCCUUUUUUCAGCUCUGAAUUAGGAGCUUUUAUGUGAGACAGGGAGAGGGGCUUCUGUAUCUGAAUGCUGGCUUGUUUUCUGCAGCUAUAUCAGCUGGUCUAAUACAGGAGAUCGUGUCUCCCUUGUACGUCUUACGGAUCUCAGCGAUAAGGUGCCAGGACAUUGCAUGCUAAUAUUUCAGCACAGUUUUUGGAUACCGCAGGAUUUUUAGAUUUUUCUGCAGACAGCUUUUGAACACAGUUUGCACUGUGCCUUUUUGACUGGGGCUUUAACAAAGAAGGGACAAACUAAAAUGGGAAACUGCCAGCGAAAGGUGUUAGUAUAUUCAGUAGCCAGUCACAGAUAGACUAUUGAGGCUCUCCUUCAGACUAGAGACCUGGCAAGCUGGGGCUCAGGGCAGCCACGAUGCACAUUUCGGAGCCCUCCUGGACAAGCAGUUUGCAGGCUGCAUCUGCUCUGUUUGCUGUCCCAGGACGUCGGGAGAUGGUGUAAAAGGCAGGUCUAAUUCCACAAAACUGUGGCAGAAGGACCAGCUGCAGAGAAGGGACAAAACAGUUGCCACAGUCCAAAAUGGAAAAAGAUUUUUCAUUUUGAGGACAAAGCAUAUGCAAAUUUGCCACGCUUCCAAAACUCAUCAGAGGUGAAACGGCAGAGCGUCUGCUUGUGCUGGCUUCCUUGCACUGAGAGAGCAUUUGCCCUAGCGCUUCAGAGAGGCUCUCACAGAUGGAGAAGAUGGCUCUUUGGCUAGAAGAGGGGGCUGUGCUGAGGUGCACUAAUAAAGGAAUAAAAGCCUCAAAAUAGGCGAGGCA
RNAcentral lists this long non-coding RNA (960 nucleotides) under Struthio camelus australis. Its description in RNAcentral is "lncRNA (ENSSCUG00000012614.1)". Lineage: Eukaryota; Metazoa; Chordata; Aves; Struthioniformes; Struthionidae. The record is from RNAcentral.